UACAGAGGUGGCAAGCGUUGUUCGGAAUUACUGGGCGUAAAGGGCGCGUAGGCGGCCAUCUAAGUCAGACGUGAAAUCCCCCGGCUUAACCUGGGAACUGCGUCUGAUACUGGACGGCUUGAGUAUGGGAGAGGGAUGUAGAAUUCCAGGUGUAGCGGUGAAAUGCGUAGAUAUCUACAGGAACUCCGGUGGCGAAAGCGGCGUGCUGGACCUUUUCUGACGCUGAGGCGCGAAAGCUAGGGGAGCAAACGGG
Molecule: ribosomal RNA, 253 nt
Filed under: uncultured bacterium
Lineage: Bacteria
Description: partial 16S ribosomal RNA
Rfam family: Bacterial small subunit ribosomal RNA
Source: RNAcentral